This is a long non-coding RNA of Nanorana parkeri, 142 nucleotides long. RefSeq lists it as uncharacterized. The transcript is spliced from 3 exons. The record is from RefSeq and is a predicted model, not a curated record. Lineage: Eukaryota; Metazoa; Chordata; Amphibia; Anura; Dicroglossidae.
AUGCCCUUCGUAGUGUACAUGGAUUUGCAAAACAAUGGGAUAAAGGAAUAUUCCUGAACUUUAGGAUUUAUCUCAUGGUUGCUUACUGUGAAAUUGUGUGACUGCAUCGAUGCAGUGCAUGUUAUCUCAGUUUGCAGAGCUU